Cotesia glomerata is the source of this 1076-nucleotide long non-coding RNA. RefSeq lists it as uncharacterized. The record is from RefSeq and is a predicted model, not a curated record. NCBI's taxonomy places the organism in Eukaryota, Metazoa, Arthropoda, Insecta, Hymenoptera, Braconidae. The transcript has 7 exons.
UAUUAAAAAGUAACAAUGACAAGUGAAUCAUUUUUAAAAUUUGUUGAAUGAAACUGAACAAGAAUAAACUUGAGAAAAAAAGUUCCCGAUGCGUAAAUCGUUAAACACUUUCGGGGAAUCUGUGAAUGACAGAUAAAAAGCAUUAGCAUGUUUUUCAGGGUGGAAAAAGAGACAAAUGGUUAGUCGGGCUGUUGAACACCGCAUAAAGAAGAUGAAGAUGAAGAUGAGAUGACGAGGAGCAAGCAAGCAAGUAAGCAAGUUAGAGAAGAGUAGAGGGAGAAUAGGUGGUCUUAAAAUUUUCUAUUCUUGUUAUGUUAUAUUAACGGAUGAAGCCAUUAUCAAGGUGUACGGUCUAGUUCUUGUAUGUAUUGAGGCGAGGACUUUUCGACUGGCAUAUAGAACAAUUCUACUGGGACGAAGUAAAAGAAGAAGAAGAAGAUGAUGAUGAUUAUGACUGUGAUGAAGAAGAGUAAAUUCGCCGGCUCAAAAAUGAGCUAAGGCUUCCUGUAUAUUUCACGACCUCAUUUAAAUGGACACUGGAGAAUUUCAAUUGGAGUCACAGCCUCCACGGGUCAUUGAUCCUAAAAAUAUAUAUUUACAAAGACGUUUUUUAAAAAGCGUCGUCAUAUCAUCCAGCAAGCACUUGAUCAAAGACCAGUAUGAAUAGCAUAACUGGAUCCCGAGUGCGGAAAAUAACUGCAUAGAAGUGGGCAACUAGUAUAAUAUCAAUAAGUGAAAAAAGACAUAUUUAAACCAGCUCUCAAGCGUUCCUAAUUACCAUGAGUGUUUUUCGGUAUUUGAAACAUACUAUUCAGAGGACAAGCUUAUAACAUAUACACACACGAUAUGCAGUCGCAGUGUCUUAUACCGGUUUUUCUCGCCUUAUUAAUAAAUUAUACAAGCCAAGGAGGUUCGGCGUAUAGUAGAGAGCUCUCUUAUAUACAUUAGCCCGAGAAUGAACGAGCAAUAAAACGCACACAGUGCGAGUAAGCAAGAAGACAAGAAGACAGCGUAUCCAGCGUACAACCAGGCACCUUGGUUUAAUACAUAUGUACAUAAGUUGUUUUAUAUUGAGU